GGGGGGGACGUCGGUGACAAGGGGGGGGGCGGCGAUGGCGCCGGAGGCGGCGGCACCGUGGGGACGGGAGGCGGCGGCGCCGAUGGGGGGCGGCUCGGCGGCGGCGGCGGCGGAGGUGACACCCGCGGCACCGGAGGUGGCACAGAGGAUGUCCCCGUUGUCACCGGAGGUGGCCCCGUGGGGACGGGAGGGGACGAGGAUGAUGAGGGACAGGGCAGCGGUGACGCGAGGGGCGACGCCGAUGGCGCUGGAGAUGGCGCUGUGGGGACGGGAGGUGACAAAGGACGGGGCGGCGGUGGCGGCGGAGGUGACAUCGAUGGCGCGAGAGGUGGCACGAAGGAUGUCCCCGUUGUCACUGGAGAUGGCACCGUGGGGACAGGAGGUGCCACCACCAACCCAGGACAGGUCAGCAGUGACACCGAUGGCACGAGAGGUGACACUGAUGGCGCGAGAGGUGACAUCUGUGACACAAGGGACAUCUCCGAUGGCGCCGGUGAUGCCACCAGCCAUGAGGGACGGACCACCGGUGACACGAGAGGGGACAUCCGUGGCACGAGAGGUGACGCCGAUGGCACUGGAGAUGGCACUGUGGAGGCGGGAGGUGACACCGGUGACAAAGGACGGGUCAGCAGUGACACCAGAGGUGACAUCCGUGACAGCAGAGGUGGCACGAAGGACCCCUCCAGUGGCACUGGAGAUGCCACCGCUGAUGGAGGACGGGUCCGUGGUGACACGAGAGGUGACACAAGGGACAUCAGCAAUGGCAGCGGAGAUGCCACCACCCGUGGGGGACGGACCGCCGGUGACACGAGAGGGGACAGCGAUGGCACUGGAGAUGGUACCAGCCACAAAGGCCAGGCCACCAGUGACACGGGAGGUGACAUCCGCGACAGCAGAGGUGACGCAGGUGACACGAAGGACCUCCUCCCCCAUGUCACCGGAGAUGCCACCACCACCACCAAGCUGGGACAGCCCGCCGGUGACACGAGUGGUGACAUCCGCGACACGACGGGUGACACCGGUGGCACUGGAGAUGGCACUUUGGGGACAGGAGGUGCCGCCAGUGAGCCGGGACGGGUCAGCGGUGACAGCAGAGGUGACACGAGGGACGUCCCCUUUGUCACUGGAGGUGACACCGUGGGGACAGGAGAUGCCACCGCUGACCCAGGACAGACCACCGCCGGGGGAGGAGGUGACAGAGGGGACGCGAAGGCCACCACCCACACGGGGCAGAGCGUUGGUGACACCAGAGGUGACACCAGAGGUGACACGGGAGGUGACAGGAGGGACGUCCCCUUUGGGACAGCAGCCAGAAGGACGCGGGAUGUCCCCAUGGACCCCACAGCUGUCACCUUCGUCACCCAAAGUGUCACCUCCAGCCCUGGUGACACCGAUGUCCCCAACGGUGCCACCACGGACACUGGAGACUGGGUCACCGUCGUCACCCAAAGUGUCACCUCCGCCCCCUUUGUCACACGUGGUGUCCCCAGCCCGGACAGGACGGACACCACCCCCCAUCCCACCCCGGGGGGGACAUUUUUGGGGACAAGCCCUUCUGUCCCCAACGCCGGCGGGCGCCGAUGUCCCCAAAUCGGGGGGGUGCGGGGAGGGGGGGGGGGUGGCCCUUGGGGACGUCACCGCCCCACCAAAGGGGUCCCCAGGGGUGUCCCCGAGGGGGUCUUCGUGGAUGGACCCCGAGUGGCACCCAGGGGUGACCCCGAAGGUGACAGCGGAGACGGCCCCAGUGUCCCCAGAGAGGGACCGGGGGUCCCCGGUGUCCCCAAAGGGCUCCUCAAAGAUGUCCCCGAUGUCCCCAAAGGGGUCCUCGGAGGUGACCCCAAUGUCCCCAAAGGGGUCUUCAGAUGUGUCCCCAAAGGGGUCCUCGGAGGUGACCCCGAUGUCCCCAAAGGGGUCCCCAGAGGUGGCCCCAGAGAUGUCCCCAAUGUCCCUGGGGGAGAAGUCCUUGGAAAUGUCCCCAGUGUCCCCAAAGGGCUCGUCAGAAGUGUCCCCAAAGGGGCCCUCGGAGGUGGCCCCAGAGAUGUCCCCAGAGAAGCGUCCAACGUCCCCAAAUGUGUCCUUGGAAGUGGCCCCAGUGUCCCCAAAGGGGCCCCCAAAGGCGGUCCCGGGGACGUCCCACGUGUCCCCAAAGGGGUCCUCGGAUGUGUCCCCAAAUGGGACCUCAGAGAGGCACCCAACGUCCCCAGAGCGCUCCUUGGGUGUCCCCCUGAUGUCCCCUUGUGGGUCCCCGAAGGUGGCCCUGGGGACGUCCCCAAAGGGGUCCUCGGAUUUGUCCCCAAUGUCCCCAAAGGGGUCGUCGGAAAUGUCCCCAAAUGGGUCCUCAGAUGUGGCCCAGAUGUCCCCAAAGGGCUCCUUGGAGAUGUCCCCAAUGUCCCCAAGGGGGUCCUCAGAUGUGUCCCCAAAGGGGUCCUUGGCGACGUCCCCAAAUGGCUCCCAGAUGUCCCCAAAGGGGUCCUUGGCGACGUCCCCAAAUGGCUCCCAGAUGUCCCCAAAUGGCUCCUCGAAAAUGUCCCCGAUGUCCCCAAAGGGGUCCUCGGAAGUAGCCCCGAUGUCCCCAGAUGCGUCCUCAGAAAUGUCCCCGAAGGGGUCCUCGGAGAUGUCCCCAAAUGGCUCCCAGAUGUCCCCAAAGGGGUCCUCGGAGAUGUCCCCAAAUGGCUCCCAGCCGUCCCCCAAGGGACCCUUGGAAGUGUCCCCGAUGUCCCCCGAGGGCUCCUCGGACCCCCCCAAGGGCCGCCCAAACGGGACCUGGGGGCGGUGCCCCGACGAGGACCCCAAACCGUGUCCCCAAAGGGGGUCCCCCCAAAAACCCCCCGGGAAGGUCCCCAAAGGGUCCCCACGGCGGUCCCCAAAGGGGUCCCCGCGAAAAGCCCCCGAGAUGUCCCCAAAGGGGUCCCCAAAGGGGUCCCCAAAAAGACCCCCCGAGAUGUCCCCAAAGGGGUCCCCAAGACGACGCCAAGAGAUGUCCCCAAGAAGACCCCCCGAGACGCCCCCAAGGGGGUCUCCAAAGGGGUCCCCAAGAAGACCCCCCGAGACGUCCCCAAAGGGGUCCCCGCGACGCCGCCGAGAGGUGUCCCCAAAGGGGUCCCCGCGAAGACCCCCGGAAACGUCCCCAAAAGGGUCCCCGAGGAGACCCGUGGAAACGUCCCCAAAGGGUUCCCCGAGGAGACCCCCCCCCCAACCCCCGCCCCCCCCGGCGUCCCCAUCACCCGUCGGAGGGGACGCAGACGUCGUCGUCGUCGUCACCGCCGCCGCCGCCGCCUUCCCCGCGUCGGGGGGGGGGUUUUCCUCGGAGACCCCCGAACCCAACGAGGGAGGGGAAGGAGAUUUCGGGGACCCCCAACGACGGCGGUGCGGGUCGGGUUGGGAGGGAGGGGGAUCGA
Long non-coding RNA from Phasianus colchicus (ring-necked pheasant), 3398 nucleotides. The record is from Ensembl. Lineage: Eukaryota; Metazoa; Chordata; Aves; Galliformes; Phasianidae.